This 397-nucleotide ribosomal RNA is filed under the name uncultured bacterium. RNAcentral describes it as "partial 16S ribosomal RNA". It matches the Rfam family "Bacterial small subunit ribosomal RNA", at positions 523 to 918 of the family's 1533-position model. The record is from RNAcentral.
AUACGUAGGGGGCGAGCGUUGUCCGGAAUGAUUGGGCGUAAAGGGCGCGUAGGCGGCCCGGUAAGUCUGGAGUGAAAGUCCUGUUUUUAAGAUGGGAAUUGCUUUGGAUACUGUCGGGCUUGAGUGCAGGCGAGGUAAGUGGAAUUCCCAGUGUAGCGGUGAAAUGCGUAGAGAUUGGGAGGAACACCAGUGGCGAAGGCGACUUACUGGACUGUAACUGACGCUGAGGCGCGAAAGUGUGGGGAGCAAACAGGAUUAGAUACCCUGGUAGUCCACACUGUAAACGAUGAAUGCUAGGUGUAGGGGGUAUCGACCCCUUCUGUGCCGCAGUCAACACAAUAAGCAUUCCGCCUGGGGAGUACGGCCGCAAGGUUGAAACUUAAAGGAAUUGACGGGG